This 165-nucleotide small RNA is filed under the name Chrysemys picta bellii (western painted turtle). RNAcentral describes it as "TUC338 (ENSCPBG00000004107.1)". Lineage: Eukaryota; Metazoa; Chordata; Testudines; Emydidae. The record is from RNAcentral.
UGACAGCCCAGGAGACUAAAGUAACCUAUUUUAUUCACAUAAUAUGUACUGCAUAGGUGGCAGCAAUGCAAACUUCCAUAUAUAGCAAUACAAAUGUGCCUCAAUCCUGACCUAAAAGGACCUUUCCACGGGUAUGUCUUCACUGCAGAGUUAACUUGGGGGACU